AUCCAGCUGACGAGUCCCAAAUAGGAUGAAAAGCACGUCCUAGAU
Molecule: non-coding RNA, 45 nt
Organism: Schistosoma rodhaini
Lineage: Eukaryota; Metazoa; Platyhelminthes; Trematoda; Strigeidida; Schistosomatidae
Source: Rfam